RNAcentral lists this ribosomal RNA (468 nucleotides) under uncultured bacterium. Its description in RNAcentral is "partial 16S ribosomal RNA". It matches the Rfam family "Bacterial small subunit ribosomal RNA", at positions 28 to 507 of the family's 1533-position model. The record is from RNAcentral.
GACGAACGCUGGCGGCGUGCUUAACACAUGCAAGUCGAACGGAAAGGCCCUGCUUUUGUGGGGUGCUCGAGUGGCGAACGGGUGAGUAACACGUGAGUAACCUGCCCUUGACUUUGGGAUAACUUCAGGAAACUGGGGCUAAUACCGGAUAGGAGCUCCUGCUGCAUGGUGGGGGUUGGAAAGUUUCGGCGGUUGGGGCUGGACUCGCGGCUUAUCAGCUUGUUGGUGAGGUAGUGGCUUACCAAGGCUUUGACGGGUAGCCGGCCUGGGAGGGUGACCGGCCACAUUGGGACUGAGAUACGGCCCAGACUCCUACGGGAGGCAGCAGUGGGGAAUAUUGCGCAAUGAGCGGAAGCCUGAUGCGGCAACGCCGCGUGCGGGAUGACGGCCUUCGGGUUGUAAACCGCUUUCGCCUUUGACGAAGAGUGAGUGACGGUAAUGGGUAAAGAAGCACCGGCUAACUACGUG